AACGCACAUUGCGCCCCCUGGUAUUCCGGGGGGCAUGCCUGUCCGAGCGUCAUUGCUGCCCUCAAGCCCGGCUUGUGUGUUGGGCCCUCGUCCCCCGGCUCCCGGGGGACGGGCCCGAAAGGCAGCGGCGGCACCGCGUCCGGUCCUCGAGCGUAUGGGGCUUUGUCUUCCGCUCUGCAGGCCCGGCCGGCGCUGGCCGACGCAUAAACAACUUUUUUCCAGGUUGACCUCGGAUCAGGUAGGGAUACCCGCUGAACUUAA
RNAcentral lists this unclassified non-coding RNA (261 nucleotides) under uncultured fungus. RNAcentral describes it as "partial contains 5.8S ribosomal RNA, internal transcribed spacer 2, and large subunit ribosomal RNA". The stretch from base 1 to 52 matches the Rfam family "5.8S ribosomal RNA", at positions 103 to 154 of the family's 154-position model. The record is from RNAcentral. Lineage: Eukaryota; Fungi.